ACCUCUGUGGUGUGGUGCUAGCACGCGUCCCCGGUAUGGAUGAAACGCGGGUUCGACUCCUGUCUGAGGUC
Molecule: non-coding RNA, 71 nt
Organism: Parelaphostrongylus tenuis
Lineage: Eukaryota; Metazoa; Nematoda; Chromadorea; Rhabditida; Metastrongylidae
Source: the annotation of a GenBank genome assembly